CCUACGGGAGGCAGCAGUGAGGAAUAUUGGUCAAUGGUCGGAAGUCUGAACCAGCCAUGCCGCGUGCAGGAUGACGGCACUAUGUGUUGUAAACCGCUUUUGUAUUGGGACAAACACUCGUACGCGUAGCCGGAUGAUAGUAUAAUACGAAUAAGGAUCGGCUAACUCCGUGCCAGCAGCCGCGGUAAUACGGAGGAUCCAAGCGUUAUCCGGAUUUAUUGGGUUUAAAGGGUGCGCAGGCGGUUUGAUAAGUUAGAGGGGAAAUGCCGGGGCUCAACACCGGGACUCCCUUUAAAACUGUUAAACUAGAGAGUGGUAGCGGUAGGCGGAAUGUGUGGUGUAGCGGUGAAAUGCUUAGAGAUCAUACAGAACACCGAUUGCGAAGGCAGCUUACC
This 395-nucleotide ribosomal RNA is filed under the name uncultured bacterium. Its description in RNAcentral is "partial 16S ribosomal RNA". It matches the Rfam family "Bacterial small subunit ribosomal RNA", at positions 338 to 730 of the family's 1533-position model. The record is from RNAcentral.